Molecule: unclassified non-coding RNA, 294 nt
Filed under: uncultured fungus
Lineage: Eukaryota; Fungi
Description: sequence contains ITS2
Rfam family: 5.8S ribosomal RNA (bases 1-52)
Source: RNAcentral
AACGCACCUUGCGCUCUCUGGUAUUCCGGAGAGCAUGCCUGUUUGAGUGUCAUGAACUCUUCAACCCACUAAUUCCUAGUUGAAUUAAGCUGGAGUUUGGAUUUUGAGUGCUGCUAUUAAUUUAGCUCACUUGUAAAAUAUUAGCGUUUCAAUUUUGUAAUCGGAUUGACUCAGUGUAAUAGACUAUUCGCUGAGGACACCUCUGGUGGCCGAAACAAAAAAACGUAAGCUUCCAAUUCAAAAGUCAAUUUAUGAUUAGACCUCAGAUCAGGCAGGAUUACCCGCUGAACUUAA